Molecule: ribosomal RNA, 37 nt
Filed under: Entrophospora sp. BHRRA-2009a
Lineage: Eukaryota; Fungi; Glomeromycota; Glomeromycetes; Entrophosporales; Entrophosporaceae
Description: partial 26S ribosomal RNA
Source: RNAcentral
UGACCUGAAAUCGAGCAGGACUACCCCCUGAACUUAA